UGAGUAAAUGCCUAGGAAUCUGCCUGGUAGUGGGGGACAACGUUUCGAAAGGAACGCUAAAUACCCGCAUACGUCCUACGGGAGAAAGCAGGGGACCUUCGGGCCUUGCGCUAUCAGAUGAGCCUAGGUCGGAUUAGCUAGUUGGUGGGGUAAAGGCCUACCAAGGCGACGAUCCGUAACUGGUCUGAGAGGAUGAUCAGUCACACUGGAACUGAGACACGGUCCAGACUCCUACGGGAGGCAGCAGUGGGGAAUAUUGAACAAUGGGCGAAAGCCUGAUCCAGCCAUGCCGCGUGUGUGAAGAAGGUCUUCGGAUUGUAAAGCACUUUAAGUUGGGAGGAAGGGCAGUAAGUUAAUACCUUGCUGUUUUGACGUUACCAACAGAAUAAGCACCGGCUAACUUCGUGCCAGCAGCCGCGGUAAUACGAAGGGUGCAAGCGUUAAUCGGAAUUCCUGGGCGUAAAGCGCGCGUAGGUGGUUUGGUAAGAUGGAUGUGAAAUCCCCGGGCUCAACCUGGGAACUGCAUCCAUAACUGCCUGACUAGAGUACGGUAGAGGGUGGUGGAAUUUCCUGUGUAGCGGUGAAAUGCGUAGAUAUAGGAAGGAACACCAGUGGCGAAGGCGACCACCUGGACUGAUACUGACACUGAGGUGCGAAAGCGUGGGGAGCAAACAGGAUUAGGUACCCUGGUAGUCCACGCCGUAAACGAUGUCGAAAAAACGUCCGGGCUCCGAGAUUUUAGAGUCCAAACUAACCCCACCAAAACCAAAUAUAAGGGCCGA
RNAcentral lists this ribosomal RNA (782 nucleotides) under Pseudomonas nitroreducens. Its description in RNAcentral is "bacterial SSU rRNA". It matches the Rfam family "Bacterial small subunit ribosomal RNA". Lineage: Bacteria; Pseudomonadati; Pseudomonadota; Gammaproteobacteria; Pseudomonadales; Pseudomonadaceae. The record is from RNAcentral.